UCUAUCUAAUUCAUAAACACAUAUAUAUAUAUGAUGUAUAUGUGUAAUCUAUAUAAUUUAUAAAUACAUAGUUGUGUCAAUAACUUCCACACUAACUUGAUCAAAGAAAAAUUUAAAAUUUGCACUUUUGCAGACUAGAAUGCUUAUUGCAUGCAAGAAAACCUUUCAUGAUGUUUCAUAAAAUGCUUACUUUCCGACCAACAAUGUAGCAAUAACCGAGAUGUUGAAUUUACACAGCACACAUUGCGUAAAGACAUGGCACUUAUAGAGUAUAUAAACAGUGAUACAUCACAUAUCAGGUUUCUCUCAAAUUGUAAAAGUGUCUUGUAUUUGGCCAAGUUAACACUAUACAUGAACGCACAAUUUGACUCGAUGUUAAUGCUGAUUUUUCAGUUAAAAUUUUAUCAAAUACUUUCAUUGAUUUAUAAGGAUCACCAGCAGGAAUUAUAAUGGUAACUUUAAUUUAUUGCAAUUUGGUUUUAAGAAAUAAAACUUGAAAAUCUUCUUGAAUGUCUCGUGAAUCUAUUUAAGAUGGAUUAAACAGAGCGUAUAUAUUACAUGUGCUAAUAUACUGUCUCAAUCAUGAUUGUAUUACUUCAAGAAGAAAGCGUAAAAUGUAUACCUGGAGAUGGCCUUUGAUAUUUGGUAUUGUCGGUAGGGCAGACGUAAUCUAUAUUUAGAAUAUAUAAAUAUCUUAACAACCAUUUAAUUCAACAUGUCAACGGAAAUGUGGCAACAACCUCACAAUACAACAUUUACUGAUAAUCCUCUCAAGGAUAAUGUACUGAACCUCUACAGUCACUAUACAGUCUUAUUGACUAGGAUUACUUAAGGUAAUUCUGGACUGUAACUACUGUACUGAACCUCUACAGUCACUAUACAGUCUUAUUGACUAGGAUUACUUAAGGUAAUUCUGGACUGCUGUACUGAACCUCUACAGUCACUAUACAGUCUUAUUGACUAGGAUUACUUAAGGUAAUUCUGGACUGCUGUACUGAACCUCUACAGUCACUAUACAGUCUUAUUGACUAGGAUUACUUAAGGUAAUUCUGGACUGCUGUACUGAACCUCUACAGUCACUAUACAGUCUUAUUGACUAGGAUUACUUAAGGUAAUUCUGGACUGCUGUACUGAACCUCUACAGUCACUAUACAGUCUUAUUGACUAGGAUUACUUAAGGUAAUUCUGGACUGCUGUACUGAACCUCUACAGUCACUAUACAGUCUUAUUGACUAGGAUUACUUAAGGUAAUUCUGGACUGCUGUACUGAACCUCUACAGUCACUAUACAGUCUUAUUGACUAGGAUUACUUAAGGUAAUUCUGGACUGCUGUACUGAACCUCUACAGUCACUAUACAGUCUUAUUGACUAGGAUUACUUAAGGUAAUUCUGGACUGCUGUACUGAACCUCUACAGUCACUAUACAGUCUUAUUGACUAGGAUUACUUAAGGUAGUUCUGGACUGUAACUACUGCAUGGUAUCUCAUUUUACUCAGCAAGCAAAAGCACAGCUAAUGCCAUCAAAUAAUAUCCACAGAAAUACACAAGCAAUUCAACUUUGACAAAAAAAAAUUA
RNAcentral lists this long non-coding RNA (1575 nucleotides) under Mizuhopecten yessoensis (Yesso scallop). Its description in RNAcentral is "uncharacterized LOC110448103". The record is from RNAcentral. Lineage: Eukaryota; Metazoa; Mollusca; Bivalvia; Pectinida; Pectinidae.